Molecule: ribosomal RNA, 253 nt
Filed under: uncultured bacterium
Lineage: Bacteria
Description: partial 16S ribosomal RNA
Rfam family: Bacterial small subunit ribosomal RNA
Source: RNAcentral
UACAGAGGUCUCAAGCGUUGUUCGGAUUCAUUGGGCGUAAAGGGUGCGUAGGCGGCGCGGUAAGUCGGGUGUGAAAUCUCGGGGCUUAACUCCGAAACUGCAUUCGAUACUGCCGUGCUUGAGGACUGGAGAGGAGACUGGAAUUUACGGUGUAGCGGUGAAAUGCGUAGAUAUCGUAGGGAAGACCAGUGGCGAAGGCGGGUCUCUGGACAGUUCCUGACGCUGAGGCACGAAGGCCAGGGGAGCAAACGGG